Molecule: long non-coding RNA, 1149 nt
Organism: Parus major (Great Tit)
Lineage: Eukaryota; Metazoa; Chordata; Aves; Passeriformes; Paridae
Source: Ensembl
AGCAGUAUCAGCAGUACCAGCAGUACCAGCAGUCCCAGCAGUACCAGCAGUACCAGCAGUACCAGCAGUCCCAGCAGUCCCAGCAGUCCCAGCAGGCCCAGCAGUACCAGCAGUACCAGCAGUCCCAGCAGGCCCAGCAGUCCCAGCAGUACCAGCAGUACCAGCAGUCCCAGCAGUAUCAGCAGUCCCAGCAGUACCAGCAGUUCCAGCAGCACCAGCAGUAUCAGCAGUCCCAGCAGUCCCAGCAGUCCCAGCAGUACCAGCGGUACCAGCAGCACCAGCAGUACCAGCAGUACCAGCAGUAUCAGCAGUACCAGCAGUAUCAGCAGCACCUUUCAGUGCAGGAGUUACGAAUGUGGCACAGUGAGUGCAGCAGGAGCUCCUUGGGCGCGUGCUACCCCUGAGCUCACCCUCCCAGGAAUCCUCCGAGGAAAAGGAAAGGGCUGAAGAGUAACAAAAUUCCACUUUCAAGCUGCUCAGAAGACACGGUGCGAACAAACAGCCCCCAGAAGGCGAGAUCCUGCAAUCUGCUGCCGAGAGGCGCCGGGGAUCGCGGCGUGCGAGGCGCGGGCAGGGAAGCACGAGCAAUCCCACAGAAGGUGUCCCUGAGAACGUCUGGAAAGCGUCGAGCUGCCUGCCACACUGCGUGAGGGGAAUGUCAGCCCCCACAGAAGGCACAGCAGCCGUGUCGUUAGCUCCAGGUUUACACACUUCACUUGACACCUCUCCCUUGUCCUACAGAUGUUGCGCUGCAUUUGGGAUGGAGCCUCCGACGAUACAGCUGUUUGAACACAUGUGCAUUUUCCACUCAGCAAACCGCAAGAAUAAGGCAGCAGGGUUACAACGUUUGGAUCCUAGGGCUAGAAUGAGAGAAGCAGUUUUCUGUUGCUGAAGCAGAAGCUGGAAGAUGAUCACAGAGGAAAGUGGAGACACUGAGGGAAAUCUCUAUCACACCUUGAGGGGUGUUCCUCUGCCAAGGAAGAGGAUUCUGCACUGAAAUCUCUAGACAUGAAUUAACUCUGGGAUUUCCUGGGCCUGACCAACUCCCAGGUUUGCACUGCUCCUGCAUUCCCCCGAGUUAGCCUAAGCAGCUCCAGAGAAGCCUGGCAAACCCUGUGGAUUAUACAAUAAAUGGCAUUUGUUUCCACA